UCUUGAUCUCAGAUCAGGCAGGAUGACCCGCUGAACUUAAGCAUAUUAGUAAGCGGAGGAAAAGAAACUAACCAGGAUUCCCUUAGUAACGGCGAGUGAAGCGGGAAUAGCCCAAUCUGAAAAGCUAGUCUGCCCUGGAGCAGGUCUCGCAUUGUAGGUUGAUGAAGCGUUUCCUAGUGUUAAACCUUUCAAUUAAAGUUCCUUGGAACAGGACAUCAAAGAGGGUGAUAAUCCCGUGAUUAAUUGAAUGACAUACCAGUUUAGCACGUCUACGGAGCGUUUUCUUAGAGUCGGAAUGUUUGGGAUUGCAUUCCAAAGCGGGUGGUAAACUCCAUCUAAGGCUAAAUACUGGCGAGAGACCGAUAGCGAACAAGUACCGUGAGGGAAAGUUGAAAAGCACUCUGGAGAGAGAGUCAAACAGUACGUGAAAUUGCUAGCAGGGAAACGUUGGGCACCAGUACACGGCAAUCAAUGUUAAUGAUCAGUCGGUCGACCGGUGAAUUGUAAUGCGGUGAUUAUUAACCUUUAGAGAUUGUCCUAUUAGCGGCGACUCACGCAUUAUAAGGUUGUCGGUUGACCGGUGCACUCUUUAACAGCCGGGUCAACAUCGGUUAAUGACGUCCGACAAGUCUAGUUGACAAGGUAGCAUUAGUGGGUUCGCUCACUUUUGAACUUAUAGGUCAUUAGUACGAGGAUGUCGUUGACCGAGGAUAAGCGAUUCGCGCGUUUCGGCGCAGGGCGUAUUAGCCGGGUUAAGGUCGCCCGUGGUGCUAAGCAGCAUGCUGAUUAGUAUUCAUUCUACUAUACUUUUGUAUAGUAGCGGUGGUCGCUCGGUUAAUACAAGCCACUAGCGAGUCAAUGAAUGUUGACGAAAUGGUAUUCAACGACCCGUCUUGAAACACGGACCAAGGAGUCUAACAUGUCUGCGAGUGUUUGGGUGGAAAACCCUUACGCGGAAUGAAAGUAACGAG
This 971-nucleotide ribosomal RNA is filed under the name Syncephalis californica. RNAcentral describes it as "eukaryotic LSU rRNA". It matches the Rfam family "Eukaryotic large subunit ribosomal RNA", at positions 1 to 732 of the family's 3401-position model. The record is from RNAcentral. Lineage: Eukaryota; Fungi; Zoopagomycota; Zoopagomycetes; Zoopagales; Piptocephalidaceae.